CCGAGAGGAGGGAGACGGAACUAGGAAGAAAGUCACCGCUAAAACUUCAUGGUUUAGAUUGUUACUGUGACAAUUUAGUGUUUCUGUUUGUUGGAGAGCGUGUUUCCAUCGUGAAUUCUACUUAAUUGACGCUAAACCGCGACCUCACGGUGACUGUCGCUAGUUAGCUCCCUCAUGCUAGCAGGACGAGGGACUGUUUGGGAAGCACCAGUUGCACCAAGCAAAAAAAAAAAAAAAAAAAAAAAAUCUGUUAACCUACUGGAUGCUUCUGAACGUGGACGGAACCUGAGGACGUGUUUCGAACAGACACCGGUGAAGGAGGAUUGACCAAACUAACAGGAUUCUGCAUCCAAGGAACUAAAUUAUCUGGAGGGUUCAUUGGAAACUUGCAGCUGGGUGCGUUUCCUGCUGUUUGCCUGAACACAUACCCUUCAUUCGGAGAUGAGGCUCCCAGACAGACGGGCAUAUUUUAUAGCGGAGCUUAGAAACUGGCUGGGUCAGUCCUCUAAUGCAACUGAACUCACAUCGCUCUUUUAUUCUUUUCAACUAAAUUGCAUGAUAUUAAUGUUUUUGUAUUUUAUUACCACUAAUCAAGAGCAUUAUGUCAUUACUAAAACAUAUUAUAAAACAUAUUAUAAGAGAUCAGCAGUCUAGUGAAGUGAUUUUCUAUCUAACAACAGAAAACUGUGUAGGUUUAGCAGUUAUACUCAGAAUGUUUUUAGCCUUAUUUUUCAAAUGCACUCACAAAUGUUUGUUUAGUUGUUAUUGUUAGAUGUUAUCCAGCGUUAAUCCUUAUCUUAAAUGACCAGACAAUCAUUUGUAGAGUAAUAG
Molecule: long non-coding RNA, 831 nt
Organism: Mugil cephalus (flathead mullet)
Lineage: Eukaryota; Metazoa; Chordata; Actinopteri; Mugiliformes; Mugilidae
Exons: 3
Source: RefSeq, a predicted model, not a curated record